GACGAACGCUGGCGGCGCGCUUAACACAUGCAAGUCGAACGGAAAGGCCUGCUUUCCCUUGUGGAUUGCGGGUACUCGAGUGGCGAACGGGUGAGUAACACGUGAGUGAUCUGCCCCCAACUUGGGUAUAAGCCUGGGAAACUGGGUCUAAUUCCCGAUAGGACUGCAGGGUGGUGCCUGUGGUGGAAAACGAUUUUCUAGUGGUUGGGGAUGAGCUCGCGGCCUAUCAGCUUGUUGGUGGGGUAAUGGCCUACCAAGGCGGCGACGGGUAGCCGGCCUGAGAGGGUGGACGGCCACAUUGGGACUGAGAUCCGGCCCAGACUCCUACGGGAGGCAGCAGUGGGGGAUAUUGCACAAUGGGCGGAAGCCUGAUGCAGCGACGCCGCGUGGGGGAUGACGGCCUUCGGGUUGUAAACUCCUUUCGACCGCGAGGAAGCCACCUGGUUGGAAGGGUGGUGACGGUAGUGGUAGAAGAAGCACCGGCUAACUACGUG
Molecule: ribosomal RNA, 494 nt
Filed under: uncultured bacterium
Lineage: Bacteria
Description: partial 16S ribosomal RNA
Rfam family: Bacterial small subunit ribosomal RNA
Source: RNAcentral